Molecule: ribosomal RNA, 93 nt
Filed under: uncultured bacterium
Lineage: Bacteria
Description: partial 16S ribosomal RNA
Rfam family: Bacterial small subunit ribosomal RNA
Source: RNAcentral
CCGCCCGUCACACCAUGGGAGUCAUUUGCUCCAGAAGUCGAUGUGCCAACCGCAAGGAGGCAGUCGCCCAAGGAGUGAAUGGUAACUGGGGUG